UCAAGUUAUUAAGGGUGCAGGGCGGAUGCCUUGGCACUAGGAGCCGAUGAAGGACGUGAUAAGCUGCGAUAAGCUUCGGGGAGUUGCACGUAAACUUUGAUCCGAAGAUUUCCGAAUGAGGAAACUCACUUAGAGUAAUGUCUAAGUAUCAUUAAGUGAAUACAUAGCUUAAUGAGGGGAACUCAGGGAACUGAAACAUCUAAGUACCUGAAGGAAGAGAAAGAAAUUCGAUUCCGUAAGUAGCGGCGAGCGAACGCGGAUUAGCCCAAACCAAUAAAGUUUUCUUUAUUGGGGUUGCGGACAUAUCAUAACGAAGAGGUAUCGUAAUUGAAGAGGUUUGGAAAGACCCACCACAGAAGGUAAUAGUCCUGUAUGUUAAACGAGAAGACUUCAGAUAUGAUCCAGAGUACCACGGGACACGUGAAACCCUGUGGGAAGCAGGAGGGACCACCCUCCAAGGCUAAAUACUACCUAGUGACCGAUAGCGUAUAGUACCGUGAGGGAAAGGUGAAAAGAACCCCGGGAGGGGAGUGAAAUAGAACCUGAAACCCUGCACUUACAAGCUGUGGAAGCACAUUUCUUGUGUGACCGCGUACUUUUUGUAGAACGGGCCAACGAGUUACGUUAAGUAGCAAGGUUAAGCACUUAAGGUGCGGAGCCGUAGCGAAAGCGAGUUUUAACUGAGCGUUCAGUUACUUGACGUAGACCCGAAACCGGGCGACCUACCCAUGAGCAGGAUGAAGCGAAAGUAAAAUUUCGUGGAGGUCCGAACCCACGAGCGUUGAAAAGCUCGGGGAUGACUUGUGGGUAGCGGUGAAAUUCCAAUCGAGCCCGGAGAUAGCUGGUUCUCCCCGAAAUAGCUUUAGGGCUAGCCUCAAGGUGAGAGAUACGGAGGUAGAGCACUGAAUGUCCUAGGGGGUAUUGCACCUACCGAAGACUAUCAAACUCCGAAUGCCGUCAUCUUAUACUUGGGAGUCAGACUGUGGGUGAUAAGAUUCAUAGUCGAAAGGGCAACAGCCCAGAUCGUCAGCUAAGGUCCCUAAAUGUAAGUUAAGUGGUAAAGGAUGUGGGAUUGCACAGACAACCAGGAUGUUGGCUUAGAAGCAGCCACUCAUUCAAAGAGUGCGUAAUAGCUCACUGGUCGAGUGAUCCUGCGCCGAAGAUUUCCGGGGCUAAAACUUACUACCGAAGCUACGGCAUCAGUAAUGAUGGGUAGGGGAGCUUCCCAUACGGGUUGAAGCAUGACCGUAAGGACAUGUGGACAGUAUGGGAGUGAGAAUGUUGGCAUGAGUAGCGAGAUGUGGGUGAGAAUCCCACAGGCCGUAAACCCAAGGUUUCCAGGGGAAGGUUCGUCCGCCCUGGGUUAGUCGGGACCUAAGCUGAGGCCGAAAGGCGUAGGUGAUGGACAACAGGUUGAUAUUCCUGUACUACCGAUAACCGUUUGAGAGAAGGGAUGACACAGUAGGAUAAGCUAAGCACACUGUUGGUUAUGUGUGCCCAAGCAUUGAGGCAGUCAAAGUAGGCAAAUCCGCUUUGAUAAUGCUGGGAUGUAAUGGGGAGCGAAAUUUAGUAGCGAAGUAGCUGAUUUCACACUGUCAAGAAAAGUCUCUAUCGAGGUUAAAGGUACCCGUACCGCAAACCGACACAGGUGGGUGAGGAGAGUAUCCUAAGGCCAGCGAGAGAACUGUUGUUAAGGAACUCGGCAAAAUGACCCCGUAACUUAGGGAUAAGGGGUGCCACCAUCAGGUGGCCGCAGAGAAUAGGCCCAAGCGACUGUUUACCAAAAACAUAGGUUUCUGCUAAGUCGCAAGACGAUGUAUAGGAGCUGACGCCUGCCCGGUGCUGGAAGGUUAAGGGGAUCUGUUAGAGCAAUCGAAGCAGUGAACUUAAGCCCCAGUAAACGGCGGCCGUAACUAUAACGGUCCUAAGGUAGCGAAAUUCCUUGUCGGGUAAGUUCCGACCCGCACGAAAGGCGUAACGAUUUGGGCACUGUCUCAACAACAGACUCGGUGAAAUUGUAAUUCCGGUGAAGAUGCCGGAUACCUGCGACAGGACGGAAAGACCCCAUGGAGCUUUACUGUAGCUUGACAUUGGGUCUUGGUACUACAUGUACAGGAUAGGUGGGAGGCUUUGAAACCAGGACGCCAGUUUUGGCGGAGCCAUCCUUGGGAUACCACCCUUGUAGUACUGGGACUCUAACCAUAGGCCAUGAAUCUGGUCUUGGGACACUGUCAGGUGGGCAGUUUGACUGGGGCGGUCGCCUCCCAAAAGGUAACGGAGGCGCUCAAAGGUUCUCUCAGUACGGUCGGAAAUCGUACGUAGAGUGUAAAGGCAAAAGAGAGCUUGAUUGCAAGACAUACAGGUCGAGCAAGGAUGAAAAUCGGACUUAGUGAUCCGGUGGUUCUGCGUGGAAGGGCCAUCGCUCAACGGAUAAAAGCUACCCUGGGGAUAACAGGCUUAUCUCCCCCAAGAGUCCACAUCGACGGGGAGGUUUGGCACCUCGAUGUCGGCUCAUCACAUCCUGGGGCUGUAGUAGGUCCCAAGGGUUGGGCUGUUCGCCCAUUAAAGUGGUACGCGAGCUGGGUUCAGAACGUCGUGAGACAGUUCGGUCCCUAUCCGUCGCAGGCGUAGGAAAUUUGAGAAGACCUGUCCUUAGUACGAGAGGACCGGGAUGGACGUACCUCUGGUGUACCAGUUGUUCUGCCAAGGGCAUGGCUGGGUAGCUAUGUACGGAAUGGAUAAGCGCUGAAAGCAUCUAAGCGCGAAGCCAACUUCAAGAUAAGAUUUCCCACCGCAAGGGUAAGACCCCAGAAAGACUAUCUGGUUGAUAGGUCGAAGGUGUAAGUGCAGCAAUGUAUUUAGCUUAUCGAUACUAAUAGGUCGAGGACUUGACCAA
This 2896-nucleotide ribosomal RNA is filed under the name Clostridioides difficile. RNAcentral describes it as "bacterial LSU rRNA". It matches the Rfam family "Bacterial large subunit ribosomal RNA". The record is from RNAcentral. Lineage: Bacteria; Bacillati; Bacillota; Clostridia; Peptostreptococcales; Peptostreptococcaceae.